Molecule: ribosomal RNA, 100 nt
Filed under: Bifidobacterium longum
Lineage: Bacteria; Bacillati; Actinomycetota; Actinomycetes; Bifidobacteriales; Bifidobacteriaceae
Source: RNAcentral
AGGUGAGACGCCCGGUCCCAUUCCGAACCCGGAAGCUAAGGCCUGGCACGGCGAUGGUACUGCACCCGACAGGGUGUGGGAGAGUAGCACGCCGCCGCAC